This 253-nucleotide unclassified non-coding RNA is filed under the name Glomus sp. RNAcentral describes it as "partial contains 5.8S ribosomal RNA and internal transcribed spacer 2". The stretch from base 1 to 65 matches the Rfam family "5.8S ribosomal RNA", at positions 84 to 154 of the family's 154-position model. The record is from RNAcentral. Lineage: Eukaryota; Fungi; Glomeromycota; Glomeromycetes; Glomerales; Glomeraceae.
GUGAAUCAUCAAAUUUUUGAACGCAAAUUGCACUCUCCUCGGAGAGUAUGCCUGUUUGAGGGUCAGCCUAUAAAAAAUCGACAUCGUUGCUGUUUCGCGGUGGCGUUCGUCGGAAAUUGGGUCAUCUUAAAUCCUUUUGAUUUAAGCGACUUAAAAUUUUCUUUUGGUUCCAUGAACGUUUCUAAGAUCUAUUUCUUUACACGUUUAAGGUAUCGAUUUUUAUUGGAGGGAACAUUAAUUUCGGUUGGGUCCC